RNAcentral lists this ribosomal RNA (898 nucleotides) under uncultured bacterium. RNAcentral's name for it is "bacterial SSU rRNA". It matches the Rfam family "Bacterial small subunit ribosomal RNA", at positions 11 to 899 of the family's 1533-position model. The record is from RNAcentral.
GUUUGAUCCUGGCUCAGGAUGAACGCUAGCUACAGGCUUAACACAUGCAAGUCGAGGGGAAACGACAUCGAAAGCUUGCUUUUGAUGGGCGUCGACCGGCGCACGGGUGAGUAACGCGUAUCCAACCUGCCCACCACUUGGGGAUAACCUUGCGAAAGUAAGACUAAUACCCAAUGAUAUCUCUAGAAGACAUCUGAAAGAGAUUAAAGAUUUAUCGGUGAUGGAUGGGGAUGCGUCUGAUUAGCUUGUUGGCGGGGUAACGGCCCACCAAGGCAACGAUCAGUAGGGGUUCUGAGAGGAAGGUCCCCCACAUUGGAACUGAGACACGGUCCAAACUCCUACGGGAGGCAGCAGUGAGGAAUAUUGGUCAAUGGACGAGAGUCUGAACCAGCCAAGUAGCGUGCAGGAUGACGGCCCUAUGGGUUGUAAACUGCUUUUAUAAGGGAAUAAAGUGAGUCUCGUGAGACUUUUUGCAUGUACCUUAUGAAUAAGGACCGGCUAAUUCCGUGCCAGCAGCCGCGGUAAUACGGAAGGUCCGGGCGUUAUCCGGAUUUAUUGGGUUUAAAGGGAGCGUAGGCCGGAGAUUAAGCGUGUUGUGAAAUGUAGACGCUCAACGUCUGCACUGCAGCGCGAACUGGUUUCCUUGAGUACGCACAAAGUGGGCGGAAUUCGUGGUGUAGCGGUGAAAUGCUUAGAUAUCACGAAGAACUCCGAUUGCGAAGGCAGCUCACUGGAGCGCAACUGACGCUGAAGCUCGAAAGUGCGGGUAUCGAACAGGAUUAGAUACCCUGGUAGUCCGCACGGUAAACGAUGGAUGCCCGCUGUUGGUCUGAAUAGGUCAGCGGCCAAGCGAAAGCAUUAAGCAUCCCACCUGGGGAGUACGCCGGCAACGGUGAAA